Molecule: long non-coding RNA, 297 nt
Filed under: Capsella rubella
Lineage: Eukaryota; Viridiplantae; Streptophyta; Magnoliopsida; Brassicales; Brassicaceae
Description: long non-coding RNA (CRUB_LNC001349)
Source: RNAcentral
AAAUUUUGAAUACUGGUACGUUAAAAUACGAUUUCGAGGAAUAUAAUAUGAGUUCAAAAUAUGAAAUGGGAAAGCGAAUCCAUUUGUCGAAAGGGAAAAACUAAAAUUAUUAAAAAGAAGUAAGGAAAUAAAGGUAACUAUUGUCUGUUUAUUCCUUUAUUCCAGUUUCGAAAUCCAACCAUGGCAAAAAAAAAAAAAAAAAAAAAAAAGUGUCAAGUCUCAUCUCAUCUCUCCCCAUGUUGAUUUUGCUUUUUCCUCUCCCAUUGUCCCAUGAACACAAAUCAACCUGGAGAAUUU